RNAcentral lists this transfer RNA (72 nucleotides) under Anguilla anguilla (European eel). RNAcentral's name for it is "tRNA-OTHER". The record is from RNAcentral. Lineage: Eukaryota; Metazoa; Chordata; Actinopteri; Anguilliformes; Anguillidae.
GGCAUGGUGGUGCAGUGGGUAGCACUGUCGCCUCACAGCAAAAGGUCCUGGGUUCAAAUCCUUUCUGUGUGG